GAUGAAGAACGCAGCGAAAUGCGAUAAGUAAUGUGAAUUGCAGAAUUCAGUGAAUCAUCGAAUUUUUGAACGCACCUUGCGCUCCUUGGUAUUCCGAGGAGCAUGCCUGUUUGAGUGUCAUGAAAUUCUCAACCUGUUCAGCUUUCUUUGUUGAUCAGGCUUGGAUGUGGGAGUAUGCGGGCUUCUCAGAAGUCGGCUCUCCUGAAAUGCAUUAGCGGGACCUUUGUUGCCUGGCUUUGGUGUGAUAAUUAUCUACGCCAUUGUAGUCAAGCAGCUUAUAAUGAGGUUUCAGCUUCUAACCGUCUCCCCUGAGACAACUUUUUGACAAUUUGACCUCAAAUCAGGUAGGACUACCCGCUGAACUUAAGCAUAUCAAUAAGCGGAGGA
RNAcentral lists this unclassified non-coding RNA (387 nucleotides) under soil metagenome. RNAcentral describes it as "partial contains 5.8S ribosomal RNA, internal transcribed spacer 2, and large subunit ribosomal RNA". The stretch from base 1 to 120 matches the Rfam family "5.8S ribosomal RNA", at positions 35 to 154 of the family's 154-position model. The record is from RNAcentral.